UUUCCGUAGGUGAACCAGCGGAAAGAUCAUUACCGAGUUCAUGCCCUCACGGGUCGAUUUCCCACCCUUGAAUAUUUAUACCUUCGUUGCUUUGGCAGGCCGUGGAAACACCAUGGGCUCAGUCUUUUGCGUGCCUGCCAGAGGAAACAAAAUCUGUUUUUAGUGAUGUCUGAGUACUGUAUAAUAGUUAAAACUUUCAACAACGGAUCUCUUGGUUCUG
RNAcentral lists this unclassified non-coding RNA (220 nucleotides) under plant metagenome. RNAcentral's name for it is "partial contains small subunit ribosomal RNA, internal transcribed spacer 1, and 5.8S ribosomal RNA". The record is from RNAcentral.